This 484-nucleotide ribosomal RNA is filed under the name uncultured bacterium. RNAcentral describes it as "partial 16S ribosomal RNA". It matches the Rfam family "Bacterial small subunit ribosomal RNA", at positions 30 to 507 of the family's 1533-position model. The record is from RNAcentral.
AUUGAACGCUGGCGGCAGGCCUAACACAUGCAAGUCGAGCGGAUGAAGGGAGCUUGCUCCUGGAUUCAGCGGCGGACGGGUGAGUAAUGCCUAGGAAUCUGCCUGGUAGUGGGGGAUAACGUCCGGAGACGGGCGCUAAUACCGCAUACGUCCUGAGGGAGAAAGUGGGGGAUCUUCGGACCUCACGCUAUCAGAUGAGCCUAGGUCGGAUUAGCUAGUUGGUGGGGUAAAGGCCUACCAAGGCGACGAUCCGUAACUGGUCUGAGAGGAUGAUCAGUCACACUGGAACUGAGACACGGUCCAGACUCCUACGGGAGGUAGCAGUGGGGAAUAUUGGACAAUGGGCGAAAGCCUGAUCCAGCCAUGCCGCGUGUGUGAAGAAGGUCUUCGGAUUGUAAAGCACUUUAAGUUGGGAGGAAGGGCAGUAAGUUAAUACCUUGCUGUUUUGACGUUACCAACAGAAUAAGCACCGGCUAACUUCGUG